This 301-nucleotide ribosomal RNA is filed under the name uncultured bacterium. RNAcentral describes it as "partial 16S ribosomal RNA". It matches the Rfam family "Bacterial small subunit ribosomal RNA", at positions 509 to 807 of the family's 1533-position model. The record is from RNAcentral.
CAGUAGCCACGGUAAAACGAAGGGGGCUAGCGUUGCUCGGAAUCACUGGGCGUAAAGGGUGCGUAGGCGGGUCUCUAAGUCAGGGGUGAAAUCCUGGAGCUCAACUCCAGAACUGCCUUCGAUACUGAAGAUCUUGAGUUCGGGAGAGGUGAGUGGAACUGCGAGUGUAGAGGUGAAAUUCGUAGAUAUUUGCAAGAACACCAGUGGCGAAGGCGGCUCACUGGCCCGAUACUGACGCUGAGGCACGAAAGCGUGGGGAGCAAACAGGAUUAGAUACCCCUGUAGUCCCUGUCUCUUAUAC